CUCUAUUUAAGGAAAUGAACGUUUAGGAGGAGAGGAGGAGGAGAAGUUCUGGGAACUGCUGGAAACACUCAGUUCUUCAGAAAUCAACAAAAACACACACAUCUGUUUUCUAUCCUGCAGAGAUCCAGAGCUGAGAGGAUUCUUGUUUUGUCAUUAAGCUGCAGAAAGUUCCUCUUUGUGCUGCUUUAAGCCCUCUGACUUAACCUACAUAACAUUUACCGCCUGUAACCAUGGCAACGACACACAUUCACACUGACGCCACAGCAGAGAGAAGACAACAGCAUCUCCCCAAAGAUAUAGAAUAUAUGAAUAAUAUUAAUAUUAAUAAGUAGAAAGAACCAUUAACACUCCUGUUGUCUCAUGUUAGACCAGAACUGUCCAAAGAAACAUAAAAAAUGUUUUAUAUUUAGCAAAAAAACAUUAAAACAGUUUAAUAUUUAGCAAAAAAAAUCAUAGAAACUGUUUUAUAUUUAGCAAAUAAAACCCAAAAAAAGAGUUUAAUAUUUAGCAAAAAAACAACAUAAAGACUUAAAUAUAGCAUAAAGUCCAGAAAACACGAAAACAAAACGCUCCCUGAAGGUUUUCUGAACGUCUCUGUUUUCUCUUUCCACUAAAGGUUUCCUGAUGAUAACUUUUGUGUAGUUUGUUGUAAACACAGUCCAUACAUCACAAACCUUCAGAGAACCUUCAGGGAACGUUCUCUGAACACUAGUUUUAUUCUAGGAAACAGAAACAGGAAGUGAAAGCUGCUGAUUAAGUGCACAUAUUUAACCCUCAGAUCAUCAGAAUGACCGUUUUAUUACAUCCAUAGAAUGAAAAGUUUUUAACAUUUUAUAUUCCAGAUAGUUCUUGAAAUACCUGUUUCUGCUCCAUUCCAUUGAAAAAGUGUUAAAAAUUGUCAAUAAAACAGAAAUUUUCAUUCUUCUGUUACUGUUCUGUUUAAUUUUCUUCUUUUUCAAUCAUCAAAAUCUGUUUUAAAGUGAAAAAUCAACAGAUUUCAAACACAAAAAUAGAAAACCAACAAGAAUCGAAGUGAUUAUUCUGAAGCUAAAUGACUAAAAUGAUUGUUGUUCGGGUUAUUUUAGACCCACUGAUGGAGGAAUCUGAUGACUGGAGGAUCUCAGAGUUACAAAUCUAAAGUUAACCAACUGCAUUUUUAUGUUCUCUGCUAAAUAUCAAACUCUUUUCUGUUUGUUGCUCCAUGGGUGCUUCUGAACAGAUGUUCUGGUCUAAUAUGAGACAACAUGAGUGUUUUUGUGUUAUUACUUCAUUUGUAUUUUUGUAUUUUUAGGCCCACUAUGAGGAAACCUGCCUCCAGUUUGUGUCAAAUAAAGAACAUGUAGGAUUCAGAGGAAGGAGAGUUUUUCCUCAGGAUAUAAAGUCAGGAAUAAAUCCAAUAAUAACAGCAGCUCUGAGGACCAACAUCUGCUCCAAAAUGACCCAAACAAGAAUCAUUUUAGUCAUUUAGCUUCAGAAUAAUCACUUCUAUUAUUGUUUCUUAUAUAUUUUUGUGUUUGAAAUCUGUUUAUUUUUCACUUUAUAACAGAUUUUGAUGAAAAAGAAGAAUAUUAAACAGAACAGCAGCAGGAGAAUGAAAACCUCCGUGUUUUUGAUAUUUUUCACUCUUUUCCUCCAAGCUUGCAUCACAUGUGAUGGAAUCAGAGAUAAAGAGCUUUGGAACAGAAAUAUGACCGUUUAUCUAAAAGUUUAAACAGGAACUUAAACAUUUAAAAGGAAUGAUGUCAGGAACAUGUUUUUGGAGGAAAAGCUGGAAAAUGAACCGAUAAAAAAUGUUCAUUGUAAAGAUAAUAAAAGGUCACAGUGAUGAUCUGAGGGUUAAACGUCUUCAUGGAGCAGAUGUUGGUUAUUAUUGGAUUUAUUCCUGACUUUACAUCCUGAAUAAAAACUCUCCUUCCUCUGAAUCCUACAUGUUCCUUAUUUUACACUUCUUGUUUUUAUUAGUUUCCCCGCAGGGAUCAAUAUCGUCUGAGGAUAUCUGAUCUUAGAAUCUGAUCUGAGAACAGCUCAGAGCCCAGAUAGCAGCAGUGAUGUUAUCAGACGUCUGCUCCAGGUUUCAUCCAAUCACUUUGGUUUAAAUGCAGGGAAAGACUUUCAGAGAUGCAUUCCAGUCUGUGGAAGCAGAGAAUGAAAGUUUUUAUUGCAGGUUCUGUUUGCAGCCGUGACAAAGAGCCAGAAAAGUGGUUUCCAGAGGUUAGAGGACGAUUCGGGGACGUUGGAGAUGAGUCAACAAGCAUCGGUCCAUGACGAGCAGCGCUAACAGAGGGAGGGCACGCUCAUCUGCUCACAAACACAACGGAAUCUGCAUAACUGAGGCUCCCUCUGCUGUUAACAGCUGUGAUAAAACCUGACAGACGUUUCCAUCCUCCUCCGUCACUCACAGCAGAGCUCUUCUGUCCUAAAGUACCUCAGAAAAUCUACGUUUCCAUUCAUGAAAGCUUAAAUUACAACGGCUCCAUUUAGAGUUGGACCAGCAGGAGGAGGGAGGAUGACAUUUAGCUGAUUAUCAGCUCAGAAAACCUCAACGUUCUCAGAUGUCUGGAUGCUUCAUCAACCAGGAACCAGCUGAAGGAGAUCAGAGCCGGAGGCCUCAACGUUCUCAACGUUCCAUCAACACUCAGAAUGACGAGAGAAUGAAGCAGAAAAUGCAGAAUACUUUUGUCAGGUCCACAUGAAGGUUCAGAACAAGACGGUAGCUAGAGUCAACAGGAACCUUCAGGGAGUUUGUUGAACAUAAAGUCCAGAAAACACAAUACCACAGCGUUUCCUGAAGGUUCUCUGAAGGGUUCUGUUUUCUGGACUGUCCUCUUGUAAAUUUCUACAAAGGUAACCUUCAGGGAACGUUUCCUGAAGUUUUCCUGAUGGUUGCUUUUCUGUAGUUUGCUGUAAACAGAGUUCACACAACGGAAGCCUUCAGAGAACCUUCAGGGAACCUUCAGGGAACGGUCCCUGAAAACGUAGUUUUAGUCGAGUUUUACAUGAAAUAAAGAGUUUUUCUCUAAAGAUGUCGUUGAUUUUAAACACAGUCCAGAAAACAGGAAACAUUUUUGGAACAUUUAACGAAAGUUUUCUUCAGUUAGAUUUAGGGUUCUUGAUGGCAACACCUUUGACCAAUCACACUUGAAGCACUUUUUUCACUUACUACAGGUUUUUCCUGAUGUCUGAAUUCUUGCUUGUGUUGUACGUCGCUUUGGACAAAAGCUUCUGCUAAAUGAAACUGUAGAAUUGUAAAUGAAAUUGGAGGGUUCUAUAAUAUAAUAUAAUAUAAUAUAAUAUAAUAAAAGGGCUGCACAGAGGCGUAGUGGUUAGCACUGUCGCCUUGCAGCAAGAAGAUCCCCGGUUCAAAUCCCGGCCUGGGAUCUUUCUGCAUGGAGUUUGCAUGUUCUCCCUGAGCAUGCGUGGGUUUUCUCCGGGUGCUCCGGCUUCCUCCCACAGUCCAAAAACAUGCUGAGGUUAAUUGGUUACUCUAAAUUGUCCGUAGGUGUGAAUGUGAGUGUGAUUGUGUGUCUGUAUAUGUAGCCCUGUGACAGACUGGUGACCUGUCCAGGGUGUCCCCUGCCUUCACCAGAGUCAGCUGGGAUAGACUCCAGCACCCCCCAUGACCCUGGUGAGGAUAAAGCGGUGUAUGGAUGGAUGGAUGGAUGGAUGGAUGGAUGGAUGGAUGGAUAAUAUAAUAUAAUAAUAGAUGUACUUUAUUUAUCCCAGAGGAAAUUAUUGAGGGUUAGGGGUAUUAACAGGGGUAAAAAGGGUUAGAGGUAUUAACAGGGGUAAUAAUGGGUUUUAAGGACUUUAUGUUGUUGUCUUUAAACUCUGAUCCAAUAAAACUGGAUGUUCUUGUGUUUCAGUGAUGAUGGAGAUAACUGGUGUAUAUGUAUACUUACAUUUAUCUCUCUCUAUAUAAUAUAGAACAGUAAAUAUAUAUACUUAUUUGUAUCUAUAUACAUAUGUGUGUGUGUGUGUGUGUGUGUGUGUGUGUGUGUGUGUGUGUGAUAUAGAUAAAUAGCUGUUGCCUUUAACCUCUGAUGUAAACCAGUGAAACUUCAUUUUCUGCCUGUUCAGUCGUCUUUUCUUCAGGUGUUGUAGCUCCAGUCGGGGUUUCUGCUCUAAUCUGACAGCAGUAAUGACUGAAGGCUGCUCUUCCUGAAGGACUCGUUCCUCCGUCUGGUGGUCUGGUUGCCUCUUCUGAUACUGGAUGACCAUCCAUCACAGCAGAACACCCACAACACUUCUAUAAACAGAAACGAAUAAUCAGUGUUUCCUGUGGACAGAUCCUCUCCGGUCCGUGAAGUGAAACUAAAACUCUUCUUAUCUUCAGCUCCUGCUGGACAUCAGGUCACACUGUAGAGGCUCUUCCUGCUCCGAUGCUUCUGAAAAUUAAGCCCAAAAAGAUCCCGGUGGGGAAAGAGCAAAAUUAAAACUACUAGACAUCGUCAUGCUCUGAACAGAAAUUAAUUACCUUCCACUGAGGUUCCACCAGAAGAGAACAGAGUGAGUGACGGUGUGAAGGUUCAGACGCUUUCAUCAACUUUCCAACCCUGUUGUCGACAUUUCAAGUUUCCUCUCUGAAGAAUCACAGCUGGAAGAAAAUCAAACAUCUGUCGGGAAAUUAUACAUCUGUGAUGGUUAGUAGUCAGAAGACAGGAAACCUUUAGAAAACCAUCAGGAAACAUUCUCUGAAGGUUAGUUUUUGUAGAAUUUGACCAUAAAGUCCCAGAUUGUUGAAAAUAGAGUCUAGAAAACAUGAAGCCUUUAGAGAACCUUCAUUAAAGCAUUCCCUGAAGGUUAGAUGUUGUAGAAUUUUAUUAAGUCAAAGUUUGUUGUAAGCACAUUUCGGUAGACAGGAAACCUUCAGCAAAUGUUUCCCGAAGGUUAGUUUUACUAGACUUUUACAAGAAAAUCAUGUUUGUUGAAAAUAAAGACGACAACACAGCA
Molecule: long non-coding RNA, 4950 nt
Organism: Acanthochromis polyacanthus (spiny chromis)
Lineage: Eukaryota; Metazoa; Chordata; Actinopteri; Pomacentridae
Exons: 2
Source: RefSeq, a predicted model, not a curated record